This 253-nucleotide ribosomal RNA is filed under the name uncultured bacterium. RNAcentral's name for it is "partial 16S ribosomal RNA". It matches the Rfam family "Bacterial small subunit ribosomal RNA", at positions 524 to 776 of the family's 1533-position model. The record is from RNAcentral.
UACGGAGGGUGCAAGCGUUGUUCGGAAUUACUGGGCGUAAAGCGCGUGUAGGCGGUCGCGUAAGUCUGAUGUGAAAGCCCGGGGCUCACCCCCGGAAGAGCAUUGGAAACUGCGCGACUAGAGUGCCGGAGAGGAGGGUGGAAUUCCUGGUGUAGCGGUGAAAUGCGUAGAUAUCAGGAGGAACACCGGUGGCGAAGGCGGCCCUCUGGACGGAUACUGACGCUGAGACGCGAAAGCGUGGGGAGUAAACAGG